Molecule: ribosomal RNA, 253 nt
Filed under: uncultured bacterium
Lineage: Bacteria
Description: partial 16S ribosomal RNA
Rfam family: Bacterial small subunit ribosomal RNA
Source: RNAcentral
UACGGGGGGUGCAAGCGUUGUUCGGAAUUACUGGGCGUAAAGGGCUCGUAGGUGGCCAACUAAGUCAGACGUGAAAUCCCUCGGCUUAACCGGGGAACUGCGUCUGAUACUGGAUGGCUUGAGUUCGGGAGAGGGAUGCGGAAUUCCAGGUGUAGCGGUGAAAUGCGUAGAUAUCUGGAGGAACACCGGUGGCGAAGGCGGCAUCCUGGACCGAUACUGACGCUGAUGAGCGAAAGCCAGGGGAGCAAACGGG